AAUAGAUACCCUGGUAGUCCAUGCCGUAAACGUUGGGCACUAGGUGUGGGGGACAUUCCACGUUUUCCGCGCCGUAGCUAACGCAUUAAGUGCCCCGCCUGGGGAGUACGGCCGCAAGGCUAAAACUCAAAGGAAUUGACGGGGGCCCGCACAAGCGGCGGAGCAUGCGGAUUAAUUCGAUGCAGCGCGAAGAACCUUACCAAGGCUUGACAUGGACCGGACCGCCGCAGAAAUGUGGUUUCCCCUUUGGGGCCGGUUUACAGGUGGUGCAUGGUUGUCGUCAGCUCGUGUCGUGAGAUGUUGGGUUAAGUCCCGCAACGAGCGCAACCCUCGUUCUAUGUUGCCAGCGGUUCGGCCGGGGACUCAUAGGAGACUGCCGGGGUCAACUCGGAGGAAGGUGGGGACGACGUCAAAUCAUCAUGCCCCUUAUGUCUUGGGCUUCACGCAUGCUACAAUGGCCGGUACAAAGGGUUGCGAUACUGUGAGGUGGAGCUAAUCCCAAAAAGCCGGUCUCAGUUCGGAUUGGGGUCUGCAACUCGACCCCA
This 545-nucleotide ribosomal RNA is filed under the name uncultured bacterium. RNAcentral describes it as "bacterial SSU rRNA". It matches the Rfam family "Bacterial small subunit ribosomal RNA", at positions 777 to 1320 of the family's 1533-position model. The record is from RNAcentral.